RNAcentral lists this ribosomal RNA (511 nucleotides) under uncultured Sphingobacterium sp. RNAcentral's name for it is "bacterial SSU rRNA". It matches the Rfam family "Bacterial small subunit ribosomal RNA", at positions 9 to 524 of the family's 1533-position model. Lineage: Bacteria; Pseudomonadati; Bacteroidota; Sphingobacteriia; Sphingobacteriales; Sphingobacteriaceae. The record is from RNAcentral.
GAGUUUGAUCAUGGCUCAGGAUGAACGCUAGCGGCGGGCCUAAUACAUGCAAGUCGAGCGCCCCUUUCGGGGGGAGCGGCGGACGGGUGCGGAACGCGUAAACAACCUACCCUUCGGCGGGGGACAACCCAGGGAAACCUGGGCUAAUACCCCAUAACGCAGCGGCCCGGCAUCGGGACAGUUGCUAAAGAUUCCAUCGCCGGGGGACGGGUUUGCGCCGGAUUAGCUAGUUGGGGGGGUAACGGCCCACCAAGGCGACGAUCCGUAGCUGGUCUGAGAGGAUGACCAGCCACACUGGCACUGAGACACGGGCCAGACUCCUACGGGAGGCAGCAGUAGGGAAUAUUGGUCAAUGGACGGAAGUCUGAACCAGCCAUGCCGCGUGGAGGAUGAAGGCCCUCUGGGUUGUAAACUUCUUUUAUAGGGGGCGAAAAAAGGCCUUUUCAGGUCGUCUGACGGUACCCUAUGAAUAAGCACCGGCUAACUCCGUGCCAGCAGCCGCCGCCGUAAU